RNAcentral lists this ribosomal RNA (240 nucleotides) under uncultured bacterium. Its description in RNAcentral is "partial 16S ribosomal RNA". It matches the Rfam family "Bacterial small subunit ribosomal RNA", at positions 92 to 335 of the family's 1533-position model. The record is from RNAcentral.
CGAGUGGCGGACGGGUGAGUAAUGUCUGGGAAACUGCCCGAUGGAGGGGGGUAACUACUGGAAACGGUAGCUAAUACCGCAUAACGUCGCAAGACCAAAGAGGGGGACCUUAGGGCCUCUUGCCAUCGGAUGUGCCCAGAUGGGAUUAGCUAGUAGGUGGGGUAAUGGCUCACCUAGGCGACGAUCCCUAGCUGGUCUGAGAGGAUGACCAGCCACACUGGAACUGAGACACGGUCCAGG